GGUAAAAUGGCUGAAUUUUUAGGCGAUAAAUUGUAAAUUUAUUUAUGAUAUUUUCUUUUACUA
Molecule: transfer RNA, 63 nt
Filed under: Dermacentor reticulatus
Lineage: Eukaryota; Metazoa; Arthropoda; Arachnida; Ixodida; Ixodidae
Description: tRNA-Tyr
Source: RNAcentral